UACGUAGGGGGCUAGCGUUGUCCGGAAUCAUUGGGCGUAAAGAGCGUGUAGGCGGCUCGGUAAGUCCGCUGUGAAAGUCCAGGGCUCAACCCUGGAAUGCCAGUGGAAACUGUCGAGCUAGAGUACGGAAGAGGCGAGUGGAAUUCCUGGUGUAGCGGUGGAAUGCGCAGAUAUCAGGAGGAACACCAAUAGCGAAGGCAGCUCGCUGGGACGUUACUGACACUGAGGCGCGAAAGCGUGGGGAGCGAACAGG
Molecule: ribosomal RNA, 253 nt
Filed under: uncultured bacterium
Lineage: Bacteria
Description: partial 16S ribosomal RNA
Rfam family: Bacterial small subunit ribosomal RNA
Source: RNAcentral